Molecule: ribosomal RNA, 496 nt
Filed under: uncultured bacterium
Lineage: Bacteria
Description: partial 16S ribosomal RNA
Rfam family: Bacterial small subunit ribosomal RNA
Source: RNAcentral
GACGAACGCUGGCGGCGUGCCUAAUACAUGCAAGUUGAGCGAUGAAGAUUGGUGCUUGCACCAAUUUGAAGAGCAGCGAACGGGUGAGUAACGCGUGGGGAAUCUGCCUUUGAGCGGGGGACAACAUUUGGAAACGAAUGCUAAUACCGCAUAACAACUUUAAACAUAAGUUUUAAGUUUGAAAGAUGCAAUUGCAUCACUCAAAGAUGAUCCCGCGUUGUAUUAGCUAGUUGGUGAGGUAAAGGCUCACCAAGGCGAUGAUACAUAGCCGACCUGAGAGGGUGAUCGGCCACAUUGGGACUGAGACACGGCCCAAACUCCUACGGGAGGCAGCAGUAGGGAAUCUUCGGCAAUGGACGAAAGUCUGACCGAGCAGCGCCGCGUGAGUGAAGAAGGUUUUCGGAUCGUAAAACUCUGUUGGUAGAGAAGAACGUUGGUGAGAGUGGAAAGCUCAUCAAGUGACGGUAACUACCCAGAAAGGGACGGCUAACUACGU